UAGGGAAUCUUCCACAAUGGACGAAAGUCUGAUGGAGCAACGCCGCGUGAGUGAAGAAGGGUUUCGGCUCGUAAACUCUGUCGUUAAGAAGAACAUAUCUGAGAGUAACUGUUCAGGUAUUGACGGUAUUUAACCAGAAAGCCACGGCUAACUACGUGCCAC
This 162-nucleotide ribosomal RNA is filed under the name uncultured bacterium. RNAcentral describes it as "partial 16S rRNA". It matches the Rfam family "Bacterial small subunit ribosomal RNA", at positions 355 to 511 of the family's 1533-position model. The record is from RNAcentral.